GCCAUCAAGUUGGCUCAGUCAGUGGAGCAUGAGACUCUUAAUCUCAGGAUUGUGGGUGUAGGCCCCACAACGGCA
This is a non-coding RNA of Podarcis lilfordi (Lilford's wall lizard), 75 nucleotides long. NCBI's taxonomy places the organism in Eukaryota, Metazoa, Chordata, Lepidosauria, Squamata, Lacertidae. The record is from the annotation of a GenBank genome assembly.